Molecule: ribosomal RNA, 434 nt
Rfam family: Bacterial small subunit ribosomal RNA
ACGGGAGGCAGCAGUGGGGAAUAUUGGGCAAUGGGCGAAAGCCUGAUCCAGCGACGCCGCGUGAGUGAAGAAGUAUUUCGGUAUGUAAAGCUCUAUCAGCAGGGAAGAUAAUGACGGUACCUGACUAAGAAGCAACGGCUAACUACGUGCCAGCAGCCGCGGUAAUACGUAGGUUGCAAGCGUUGUCCGGAUUUACUGGGUGUAAAGGGCGUGUAGGCGGAGAGGCAAGUCAGAUGUGAAAUCCUGGGGCUCAACCCCAGAACUGCAUUUGAAACUGUCUCCCUUGAGUAUCGGAGAGGCAAGCGGAAUUCCUAGUGUAGCGGUGAAAUGCGUAGAUAUUAGGAGGAACACCAGUGGCGAAGGCGGCUUGCUGGACGACAACUGACGCUGAGGCGCGAAAGCGUGGGGAGCAAACAGGAUUAGAUACCCUGGUA